Molecule: unclassified non-coding RNA, 772 nt
Filed under: Zea mays
Lineage: Eukaryota; Viridiplantae; Streptophyta; Magnoliopsida; Poales; Poaceae
Description: misc RNA Zm00001eb231560
Source: RNAcentral
CACCUCUCGACCAUCUCCACCCACUCACCGCUGGCAGCGGCGCCCGGCCAGCCGCCCAGCUCCGGUCCCGACCCUUUACUUUCGCUCGACUACCCGCCGGGCCGGCCCAUCACACCGUUCGUCGCUCGCUCGUACGCCAUGGCGGAAGCCUCUUCGCCGUCGUCGUCGCCGCUGCGCGUCCCGCCGCAGCGGGCCGUGGCACUCGUCGCCGCGCUCCUCGUGCUCGUGCUCCUCCGCGCGCCGUGCGGCGGCGCCAUCAGGCCGGUGCGCGAGGGGGCGAGUAACGGUGGCGCCGCUACUGUUGCGCGGGCGCAGGACGGCGGUCACCGCCACCGGGCAGCGAGUACGACGGUCGGCGGCCGCGCUCACACCCCGCCGUCCGGCCCGUCGUGGAACCACAACUGAGCCGAGCGUACGGUGCUCGUCGUCGUACGUCCAGCGCGUGCGCUCGGGUCGGAUCGAGCUCCCCUCGCCGCCGAGCCGAUCGUCAAGGUUCACGGCCGGUCGGCUGUCCGUGUCCGGCCUGGAGCGUAAAAAACAAAAAGUUUCCCGUUCAUCCUUUUCCUAGCUCACGUGGUCCGUUCCAAAUUAUAGUUCGUCUCGGUUUAUUUACGAAUUCAAAGCAUCUCAUCUCAGGUUCGGUCGCAGUCGCAGCAUUGUUUUCGUGACACCGACACAGUCCACCUGCCCCCACCGAGGUUGUUCAUCGUCGAGCAGAGCAGCAUAUCCGAUAAUCCAAUGCUAGACGAAGCAGCACAUUAUUUAAAUUAUU